Molecule: long non-coding RNA, 4798 nt
Organism: Sarcophilus harrisii (Tasmanian devil)
Lineage: Eukaryota; Metazoa; Chordata; Mammalia; Dasyuromorphia; Dasyuridae
Source: Ensembl
AGAACUGUGCUCAGUGGGGAGGGGAGGGAGAGACAAAGAGAGAGAGAGAGAGAGAGAGAGAGAGAGAGAGAGAGAGAGAGAGAGGUAGAAGGAGAAGGAGAGAAGGGAAAGGACAGGAGGGAAGGAUAUGGACAAGGGAAUGGGAUAAGCAAGGGGGAGGGUUUGAGGGGAGGGGAUUGUGGGAGAAAAGGGAUAGGAGAUGGCUAGUAGAAGAGGUAGGGGGGAAGGGAGAGGAGUAGUAGAUAUAGAGAUAUAGGGAUAGAGAAUUUAGAUAGAGAUAGAUAUAGAGAAGCUAGAGAUAGAUAUAGAGCAGAUAGAGAUAGAGAUAGAAAAGAUAGAGAUAGAGAAGAUAUGGUUAUUAGAGCAUAGAUAGAGAUAGCUAUAGAAAAGAGAGAGUCAGACAUAGAGAAUAUAGAGAUUGAUAUAGACAUAGAGAAGACAGAGAUAGAUACAGAGAGAUAUAGUGGAUAGAGCUACAUAGAGAAGAUAAAGAUAGAUAUAGAUAAAGAGAAUAUAGAGAUAUAAAAAUAGUUAGAGAAGACAGAUGGAGAUAUAGAGAAGUUAGAGAUAGAUUUAGAGAAAGAUAGAGAAUUUACAGAGAGACUACUGUUAUAGAGAUAGAUAGAAAUAGAAAAAAUAUAGAGAAAAACAGAAGUAGAUGAGAGAGUGUGAAAGAGUGUGUGAUAGAGACAGAGAGGGCAAGGAAGAAAAGGCAGAGAGAGGGAGAGACAGAGAGGGAAAGAGACAGACUGUGUGUGAGAGUAUGUGUUUGUGUGUGUUCAUUCCACAACCUGGUAUUUCAUCAGAUAAGGGGUUGCCUUGUUUUCUCGUCUUCCAGAAUCUCUUACAGGAAGUACUUGGAUGACACCAUGGGGAAGAGAAAUUGGGUAUCUACCCACGACUCGGUCCAGGAGCAGCGGAAGAGUCUCUUCCAGAAGGCAAAAGCACUGCAAUUUCGAGAUCCCCCUCAACGUACUGUACCCUUGUCAGAGAGGAAUAAUGUGCAGGUGCGGGACCUCGAGGUCCAGGAGGAGAGCAUUUCUGUGAGGCCAAAAUUGGAAGAAAAGGACAUUGUGGCCCCAUCCUCAGUGAGGAGUUUGGCUUCUGAAGCUCCUAUGCUAAUAGUCAGUGUCUCAUAUAGAAUAAUUACCCAUAACUGCUCGGUUGUCUCAUUCAAGUACAAUUUUUUCAGAGUUUCAGCCCUUUACAGCUUCCCAUUGCCACUCUUCAUUUUUCAAAGACUUAUUUUCAUCUUGAGACUCCUUUCCUCCUUUGCAAGUUGAUUUACUUUUUUUUCUUUUAUGGUUUUCAUUUUUCUUGGAAGCAUUUUUUGGUUACAUUUUUCUCAAUUUCCUUUGAUUUUAAUUUCUUUUUUGAGUUCUACACAUUUCCUUUGCUUUUGCAGCCACUGCACAUGACUCUUCAUGGUAAAAGCUUUUUUUCCUUAAGUGUCUGAAGAUGAACUCUUGUCUUCCCUGUUCUGAUAAUCUAUUUCAGUGGUGGGGUUCUUCCUUGAAGGUGUGUUUUUUAAAAUGAGGAAUGAUUAUUGAGCUCUUUUAAUUGAUGUGGGGGGGAGUUCCUCAAGCUUCCAUUCAGAGUUGCCCUAUGACCAGGAACCCCAAACCUCUGACCAAGAACUCCAAGGCAAGAAUUCCCCUUGCCUGCAAGCACCAGCAGCCAGCAGGGUCCCGAUUCCACUGCCUCUGCACUCACCCCGGGUUGGAUCCUGGCCCAAUCCUCAGUGACACAACUGGACCUGGCUGCCAUCCUAGUCAGCUCAGCUUCACUCAGGCCUCCAGGACUCAGACCUCAACUUGACAAGAGAGUCUGGGAGAUGUAAGUCUCUGUGGUUCCUAUGAGGCUCUGGCCACUCCCAGCUUAGUCCAGGGGCCCCACUAUUAUCUGUGGAUUUAGCCUGGAGGUGUUGCCAUUUUAGAGAGAUUCAUCCCCAGUCCAAUGGCUUUUUUCACAACCCUUUGGGUUGUGUGUGAAGGACCCCCUGUGAUACCCCGAGUCUGAUUUGUAUGUCUAAAUUCUAAGUUACAAAUUUGUUCCAUUUGUGGGGGAAAUUGGGAGAACUCGAACACUUUCCUAGACCCCUCCAGAGCUGAAAAUUUAAAAGUAUCAAAAUAAACCUUAUUGUCCCCAACCUUUUUCCUUAGGCUUUUGGGAGGAGUGCUUGGGGACUGUUGUAGGAGGUGGUUUUGACUGGGGAGCCAAGGCUGGCUGGAAUUUUCUGGUCUUCUUCCAGGGACCACUGGCUUUGGCAGUACAGCAUGGGGCUUCUUGGGCUGGAGGACUUUCUACCUGGGGCCAAUUAGAGUAUUGGGAAACAACUUUGGGGAUGUCUUGGACUCACUUGUCAGGACUGGGGAUAUUUUGGUGUUGUUGUUCUGAGGAGCACUGAGUACUUUGAUGGCCCUAACUUGCAUGCCUUCUUGGGGUGGAGGAUGUUCUCCCUGAGCCCAGUUAAAAGAAGGUUUAGAGAGAGCUCUCGAGGAUGUCUUAGAGUCAGUGGGGAGGGCUGGGAUACUUUGGUGGCCCUCCUGUUCCAAGGAACUCUGAGUACUUUGAUGGCAUUAAUGUGGAUGCAUUCUUAGGGCAGAGAAUCUUCUCCCUGGGGCAAAUUAGAGGAGUAUUCAGAAACAACUGUGGUGGAUGUCUUAGACUCGGUUGGCAGAACUGGGCAUAUUUUGGUAUUCCUCCGAGGAGCACUAAGUACUUUCAUGGCACUAACUGUAUGUGUUCUUGUGAUAGAGCAUCUUCUCCCCAGGGCAAAUUAGAGUGGUGUUUUGAAACCAAUUUGGGGGAUGUGUCGGACUCAUAUGGCAGGACUAGGGAUACUUUGGUGGUCUUCCAAGGAGCAACUACUAUUUUGAUGGGACUAACUUGGAUGGCUUCUUGGGGUGGAGGGCCUUCUCUCUGAGCCCAAUUGAAAGAAGGUUGAGAGAGAACUCUCCAGGAUAUUUUGGAGUGAGAUGGCAGGGACAGGGAUUCUUUGACCAUCCUUUUCCAGGGAACACUGACUCCUUUGAUGGUCCAGACUCGGCUAGCUUCUUGGGGUGGAGCAUCUUUUCCCUGGGGCCAAUUAGAGUGUUCAGAAACAACUUUGGGAGAUGUCUUGGACUCAGUUGGCAUGACUGGGGAUACUUUCGUGUUCUUCCGAGGAGCACUGAAUAUUUUGAUGGCACUAACUUGCAUGACUUCUUGGAGUGGAGGACCCUCUCCCUGGGCCCAGUUGAAGGAAGGUUCAGAUAGAACUCUCGAGGAUGUCUCAGAAUCAGAUGGCAGAGCCGGGGACACUUUGGCCAUCCUCUUCCAAGGAGCACUGACUACUUUGAUGGCCCAGCCUGGGUUGAUGCUGGGUGAAUGUUUGGUGUUAAGAUAAUAGUAUCCAAGGAUUAGAGGGCAGAGAAACAGAGGCCAGAGACUCACCUUGCAGCAGGACGAAAAGAAGAGAAGUUGGUGCCUUUGGACUCGGACAAUCGAGGUUACAUCUUUGCGUGAGCCUGUGGCAAUUUGCCUGCUUCUUUCACUUCUCCUCCUAAAGACCAAGGACUUUUACUUAUCUUGACUCUGCCUGAUCCUGAAUCCAGCAAGCUGGUCUGGACUUAACAGGAAGUCAUAGAAGUGAACAACAAAGAAAUUACAAUAGAGAUUGUAAAUAUUGAAAACAAAUUGAACAUUGUGAAACAUAGCUUUUAAAGACAGAUCUGGAGAACAGAUUAGGAAUAGAAAAUUGAAGAACUGGACUUCCUAAACAUUUUGACCAAAAAAAGAACCUGAACACAAUAAUGCAAGAAAUAAUUGGUGAAUACUGUCCUGGAAUAAUAGGACAUGAGGGUAAAAUGUCACAAUAGGAAAAAAAAAUCCCCCAAUACCAUCUCAACGAAAUCCAAUGUGGAAAAUAUCAGAAUGUUAGUGCUAAAUUUAGAAACCCAUAGAUGAAAGGAAAAAUUUCAGAAGAAACAAAAACCAAUUCAUAUGAGAAGUACAAUUGGAAUUGAGCAAGACACAUCACUAGCUCCAGUAAAAGACUGGAAAUGACCUACUGAGUGCUGAUUCUGAGAGGGGAGGGCAGAGAGAGGGUGAGCAGAAUAGAAAAAGGACAAGGCAUCAUGGAGCAAGACCAAUUUAGGGGAGGGAAGGAAGACAGAAAGAGGAAUAAGAAUGAGAUAAAAGGGGAGGGAGGCAAAUGAGAGUAAGAGGAAGAAAAGAGUUAACACUGGAAAGAUUUCUUACAGUAUAUUUAAAAUUGUAUUUUUUUAAAUCUUGGAAUGAGUAUUUUUCCAAAUACAUGGAGAGAAUUAAACAUUUAUUUUUGUCAAACUUUGUGAUCCCCGUGUUUCCCCUACGCUCCCUCAACCCCACUCUUCCAAUGAAAGCAAGCAAUCUAAGUGAAAUACAACUCUUUUAUGCACUGAACCACAUUUCUCAGGUUGUGGAAGAAAAAAUGUAAUCCUGAGGCAAAAAAUAAAUAAAUAAAUAAUGAGAAAUCUGUGUGUGAUUCUCUGAUUCAAAUGGUAAUAGGAGACAUCUCGAGAUGCAAACAGAACACAGGGAUUCUAUCAAGUACGGGAGGUCCCAGCACAUUAAGGGGCAGCCAGCAUGGUGUGGAGCCCCAGCCCAGAAAGAAGGGAUGGAUGAAAGAGGAAAAGAUUCAUUGGAUAGAUGGAAAAGGAAGUAUCUACUGACCAAUGACCAGCAAUGCUGUCUCUUUCCUAGGGAUAAUGGGACUUCAAGAAACAUAGGCCUAGGAGCUGACCAUUUCUGCCCUGCAAUCCUCUGUGAAUAGCAG